GGGGUUGUAGCUCAGUUGGUAGAGCAUCGGCUCGGCAGACCGAAGGCCGGGGUUCAAUUCCCCGCGACUCCAC
RNAcentral lists this transfer RNA (73 nucleotides) under Dactylosporangium sucinum. Its description in RNAcentral is "tRNA-Ala". It matches the Rfam family "tRNA". Rfam says of the family: Transfer RNA (tRNA) molecules are approximately 80 nucleotides in length. Their secondary structure includes four short double-helical elements and three loops (D, anti-codon, and T loops). Lineage: Bacteria; Bacillati; Actinomycetota; Actinomycetes; Micromonosporales; Micromonosporaceae. The record is from RNAcentral.